UAGAAAAUGUAAAUUUUUUUAAAACUCAUAUAUGUGUAGCGAAAUGCUGCCAGUUUUUAAAAUCAGGCAUUAUUGUAGGUCAGAGGUGUUGUUCAUGUUGAGGGAAUAAGGGUGGCUGCUCUCAUCUUCUUCCUGUCUCCUCCUUGUCAGUUGAUGUGGUAAUGGGAAGGAGUCAGUAGUCUGUGUAAAGAGAAAAGAAGGCAUGAAUUUCCUGAAAGGAUUAAUUUCCCUAAAACAAAACAAAAAAUAAACAAAAACCCCUUAAGUCAGUUCCCUUCCCUGUGUGGGCUGCUCUCAUGUAGAAGGUGGGUGGGAGAGUGUUCAGCCAUAGACAGAUGGAUGGUGGUAUCAGGUGCAGAUUAGAGUUGCUGUUGUUAUCCUUGGUGUUUCGUUGUCCUUUGUCUGCCUCCUGCACCUGCUGGGAUUCAGAGACUUGAGGAAGCUUAGUUACUUUGUCAGUGUGAAAACUGUCCUAACUGGGGAGCAGUGAUUGCAGGGACCACAGUUAGUGCAGCCGGGAAGGUGAGGGAGUGCAGGAGGCCGAGGAGGCUGAGUCAGCUCAGGAGAGCUUCAGUGAGUUUCAUUAUUGGCGAGUUGGCCAUUGUUCCUGGAGACCUUCCUCACCUGCAGUCACUGUUAUCCUCGGAUUUCUGUGAGGAGGUUUUCAGAAACUGGCUGUACUAUUGCCAGUGACCCCCUUCUAAUUAAAAUUUAAUUACACCAUUUCCCUCCUUGCCUUUCUUCCCUUCAACCUUCUCCUCCCUUUUCAGUGGCAGGAAUUAGAUGAUACUUAUUUAAUGGAAAGCACUGUAUAGAUUUUUUUUUUUAAUUGUUACAUACCAGUCUCAGCAUGUGUUGCCUAACUGCUUUCUGAUCACAACUGGCUUUCAAAAACUCUCCUUCUGCAGCACUUCUGUCAGUAGAGGGUUUCUUUCAGCCAGUUCUAGCCACAGUAUUGAUUGGGCCUGGGUAUCUGAUAUACCCAAAACGAAUUAGCCAGCCAGAAAAAAAACCUUUGUCCCCACCAGAAUAAAUAUUUUAAAGACCUUCUUAGAUUCUGAAAACCAUGAGUACAAAUGAAAGAGACUUAGGAAAGAGAAAACCUUAGGAGCCUGACAGCACAAAGUGCUGGUGGGCUGCAGACUGACCUUCUCAGAGCAGAUCUCAGGGAACAGCGCCUCCUGGAGGGGAAGAGAAUGCUGGGAUGUCCUGGACACCAGGCAGUUCAUGUUGUCAUAGCUAGUUUUCACAAGCAGGCCAUGGAGUUUAAGAAUAGUGAGGCCAGUGAUUGGAAAUAUUGAUAUAUUUCCUAAUGGUGAGUUUGAAUUAUUAUCACAUGUUCUAAGUGUGUUGGCAGCUCAAUGGUAAAUUUAACUUCAAAUAAAUGUCUUAAAUAUUAGAGAAAAUACAUUAUCAAUAAUAUACUUUUGUUCCUGCUGUAUAAUUUUACAAAAUUCUGUAGAAUAUUAUGUAUAUUGAGAACUGAGGGCAUAGAUAUGGUCACGUUGGCCGCCUCCUAGACGCUUCUAGGUAAAACUUUUUGUGGUACUGAUUAGAGAGCAUUGCAGUGUCUCUCAUGGGAAGUCUGUCCCUUCCUGGAUCACUGUGCUUUACAGCCUUGGUUCAUCACACUCCAAAGAGAACAAACACAUCUGUGUGAGUUACACAUGUUAUUAACAGAGGGACCUAGGGAGCAAGUGGAACAAUAGUCUGCCACUUAGGGAAAAUGAGAGAAACUCCAUAUGGAAGUCAGCUGAAAGCUGGGGCUUCUUCACCAGCACCCCACACACACUUGGGCACGUUGGCAUAUGAUGAUGCCCAAUCUUUGGGGUCCUCGUCACAUGCUCUGACUUUGAUCUGCUCCCUCAGUGGUUCUCUGCCUCCAACUUGAAGGCUGCCCACCGCCUCUUGAUGCAGGCCUGCAGCCACAAGCUGGAGCCUCCUAGAGAAAGUGGACAGACGGUGAAGUCCGUUCCCCAGGACAGGUGGAGAAAGCAGGGCUUGAGGCAUAAUGUGUGGCAGUGCCUUUUACUUAUGACUCUUUAUUCCAUAAGAGGUUGAAUAGUAAUGCCUUUUAAACAUGAACAGAUACCUCUCCCCCUGAAUUAUUGCAAAGGUUUUCUCAUGUGAUCUUUCUUAUGUCUUACAUAUUAAAUUAUUCUUAAAUUGUGUAAUAGUGACUGGAAUUUGGGAUUCUGUUGUGACUUGUAAAUUUGAAAUGCAUUUUCAGGAAAAUUGUCAAGAUUCCCAGGUGACUCAUUUUCAUUCCUUGCAGCCUUUCUGGUAUGUGAUCCUUCCUGAGUUUGUCAGUUGGGAGGAGACACCCUUUGCCUUCUGUUCUGACUCAGUGGCUGCCUCUGGCUUACACUACUCAAAAUCUCAAUUGUUAGAGGUCCAUUUGAACAGCUCUUGUGGGUCCUGCAUGCUUCAAGUACAUGCUUCCUGUGGUCACCAUAAACACAUCGAGUCCAAGGGGUUCCAGAACCUGCUAGACUUCUGCUACACUGCCCUGCUCAUCCUACACUGCCCUGCUCAUCCUUCCAGGGCUGCAUUCUGCGGAGAACAGGAGCUUCGCAUCACCUUACUGAGAGACUCAUUCCUGAUGUAUUUCCAUCCUCCUUCCUGAAGAGAAGCAGCAUUUUAGACAUAGGGGCCUUGGCUGACUAAGGACUGUCUCUAGAAAGUUCACAGCACUAUAUUAUAAAUGUGGCCUCAGUGUGCUGGUCAUUGCCAUUGUGAUUUCCCCAACUGCCAUGUACUGAAGUCCGAGAAGUGUAGUGCGCCUCAUGCAUGGGAAGACCCAGAGCUGCCUUAUGAGUAUGGAAGCUUGCUAGGACCUGAAGAGAGCUAGAGAUGCUCCUGUGUUUCCCUUGGUGGCUAAAAACCCCUAUAUAGAGAAAGUGUCUGUGUCAGCAAGAUAUGUCCAGACCGUAGACCAACUUUUUAAGCCCACAUGUGUCUGCAUUGAACCUACACGGACUACCAGGUGCAUGUUUGUAAGCCAUCCUUUACUCUUUUUUGAAAACUUGGUUACAUUGACAUGUAAGUUUUUUACAUAUAAAUUUCAGAAGCAAUACAGAUGUGUUUUGUGGAAAGGCUAUAUACUGCUUGUAAUAAAUUUCUGACUCUUGCUUAAUAAAAAUUAAAUGAUCCAAUUAUGGAAAAUC
Long non-coding RNA from Mastomys coucha (southern multimammate mouse), 3167 nucleotides. RefSeq lists it as uncharacterized. The record is from RefSeq and is a predicted model, not a curated record. Lineage: Eukaryota; Metazoa; Chordata; Mammalia; Rodentia; Muridae. The transcript has 2 exons.